This 468-nucleotide ribosomal RNA is filed under the name uncultured bacterium. Its description in RNAcentral is "partial 16S ribosomal RNA". It matches the Rfam family "Bacterial small subunit ribosomal RNA", at positions 28 to 507 of the family's 1533-position model. The record is from RNAcentral.
GACGAACGCUGGCGGCGUGCUUAACACAUGCAAGUCGAACGGUCAAGCUCCAGCUUUCUUUCUUUGAUCAUUGGCGAACGGGUGAGUAACACGUGAGCAACCUCCCCCUGACUCUCUAAUAUGCCCUGGAAACGGCGUCUCAUACUGGAUACGAUAUUUUUCCGCAUGUGCACUUUCUGUAAAGUUGUUCCGUUCGGGAUCGUCUCGCUGCCUAUCAGCUUGUUGGUGAAGUAAUUGCUGACCAAGGCUACGACGGAUAGCCGGCCUGAGAGGGCGAACGGCCACAAUGGGACUGAGAGACGGCCCAGACUCCUACGGGAGGCAGCAGUGGGGAAUAUUGCACAGUGGGCGAAAGCCUGAUGCAGCGACGCCGGGUGAGGGAUGACGGCCUUCGGGUUGUAAACAUAUGUCAGAAGAGAAGAAGAGAAAGUGACGGUACCUGAAGAAGAAGCAACGGCUAACUACGUG